This 274-nucleotide ribosomal RNA is filed under the name uncultured bacterium. Its description in RNAcentral is "partial 16S ribosomal RNA". It matches the Rfam family "Bacterial small subunit ribosomal RNA", at positions 523 to 796 of the family's 1533-position model. The record is from RNAcentral.
AUACGGAGGGUGCAAGCGUUACUCGGAAUCACUGGGCGUAAAGCGCGCGCAGGCGGUUUGAUAAGUUGGAUGUGAAAUCCUAUGGCUCAACCAUAGAACUGCAUCCAAAACUGUCAAACUAGAGUCUGGGAGAGGAAGAUGGAAUUAGUUGUGUAGGGGUAAAAUCCGUAGAGAUAACUAGGAAUACCAAAAGCGAAGGCGAUCUUCUGGAACAGUACUGACGCUGAGGCGCGAAGGCGUGGGGAGCAAACAGGAUUAGAAACCCUAGUAGUCC